AAGUACCCGGCCACGUUCACUUGUGUUUUUGUCGAUCUGAUGAGUUAAGCCUUUUUCAACUGAUUUUUAUAGUUGGUUCUUAUGUUGUACUGUUAUACCACUGUCCAAGGUUAGGGGAGGGUUGGGAUCCCGCUAACAUGUUUAACCCCGCCACAUUAUGUAUGUAUGUGCCUUUCCCAAGUCAGGAGCCUGUAAUUCAGUGGUUGUCGUUUAUUUAUGUGUUACAUAUUUGUUUUUCGUUCAUUUUUUUUUAUAUAUAAAUAAGACCGCUAGUUUUCUCGUUUGAAUUGUUUUACAUUGUCUUAUCGGGGCCUUU
RNAcentral lists this long non-coding RNA (316 nucleotides) under Mytilus galloprovincialis (Mediterranean mussel). Lineage: Eukaryota; Metazoa; Mollusca; Bivalvia; Mytilida; Mytilidae. The record is from RNAcentral.